This 1262-nucleotide long non-coding RNA is filed under the name Pogona vitticeps (central bearded dragon). RNAcentral's name for it is "lncRNA (ENSPVIG00000023832.1)". Lineage: Eukaryota; Metazoa; Chordata; Lepidosauria; Squamata; Agamidae. The record is from RNAcentral.
AUUUUCCUUAUUUAGUCAUCCACCAGAAGCCAUAAACAAGAAUCUGGAAUGUGGAUGAACUGCAAAACCAUUAAUGUUUUUUUUUUCUUAGAAACUUUCCAGAAAUAUUAAUUGAAAGGUUCAAUGUCCAGGACCAAAUAUUAGGGAAGAAUUUAGAUUACUUAUCUUGUGUUUCAUAAGCUAAUGCGGAAACAUCAAAGGAGAUGGCAACAUCAUGUUUGGUUUCAUGAUGCAGUGGAAAGCUAUCACUGUGCAGAGAUUCUCAGUAUGUUUUUGAUCAUUGAAACAGUUGUUUUGGAAAUGAGAAGUUGUAGAAAUGAUCCCUGUUACUUCUCUCCUUCACAGAUCCCUGCUGUCAUAAGUCCUUACAUGCACGACAGAGAAAGUGGUAGCAAGUUAGAGCAGGACAGUGACCUGGAAGCCUUCAGAACAAAGGCACCUUUUAAAGUGGGACAGUACAAGAUCUCUUAUUGCUUGAGGCUGGAAGCAGAGCACUGCUCCCCUACCUUCUAUGGCAUGAUUCUUAGUGGCACAAGCCACCAAAAGAAGCCCUGGUCCAUCCUCUCUGCUCCACCACUCCAAGACCACCCUUGCCAUUCCCAUCAUAUGCAUUGCCAGCUGUUUCUAGAAGCCAUCAGCUUAUUCAGUAACAUUUGACUGAACAGGGUCUUCUGCUGUUCUCUGGGUUCAGGUUUGUUUGGUGCCAGGCAUUGAAAAUUGGAAGAUUGUCACUUGGUCACCGGCUGCUCUUCCUUUUUCCCAUCUUCUGAUUCUUUUGGUGGUGUAUAGAAAAGAGGAGAGUCUGUCUUGUGGCAGCACCAGCUUCACCUGCAACCCCCUCCCCCCGAUGAUCUUAGUUUGGCCAGUGGUAGAGUUCCCUGUCGACCAUUCCAAACCUACAGGUUGAUAACUAAGUUUGAUGACUCUUUCCUGGUCAUAGCUUAUGGAUUUUGGGUUGAGUGUCAUUGGGGAGUUUGUAUUCUGCAAACAUCAGCCAAAAUUGACCCCUGCAAUCUCACUUGAGCACAUGAUUCUUUCAACAGUAGCAACUGCUAUUCAUGGAAACAGUACAUUGUUGCACCACUGGAUGGCAAUAUUUAGGCAGUAAUCCUGGUCUAAAUGUAAAAUAAGUAUCAAGAGGAGAAGAAAACAAAAUGCAAUGGUUAUUGGUUCUUGUGUAGAGGAUGACUUUCCAUAUUUAUGUGUUUGACUUAAUGCAGAUUGUUUUGGUAAAAAUAAAGCUGGAGAACAGUGAUUAAGCA